UAAUACGUAGGGUCCGAGCGUUGUCCGGAUUUAUUGGGCGUAAAGAGCUCGUAGGCGGCUCGGUAAGUCGGAUGUGAAAACUCGGGGCUCAACCCCGAGACGCCAUCCGAUACUGCUGUGGCUUGAGUCUGGUAGGGGAGAUCGGAAUUCCUGGUGUAGCGGUGAAAUGCGCAGAUAUCAGGAGGAACACCGGUGGCGAAGGCGGAUCUCUGGGCCAGUACUGACGCUGAGGAGCGAAAGCGUGGGUAGCAAACAGG
This 257-nucleotide ribosomal RNA is filed under the name uncultured bacterium. RNAcentral describes it as "partial 16S ribosomal RNA". It matches the Rfam family "Bacterial small subunit ribosomal RNA", at positions 521 to 776 of the family's 1533-position model. The record is from RNAcentral.